Molecule: non-coding RNA, 54 nt
Filed under: Prorocentrum minimum
Lineage: Eukaryota; Dinophyceae; Prorocentrales; Prorocentraceae
Source: RNAcentral
UCGUGACGCGCAAGGUGAAGGAACUGCAGCAGGCGGGCUUCACGGAGCAGCGCA